Molecule: transfer RNA, 72 nt
Filed under: Ictidomys tridecemlineatus (thirteen-lined ground squirrel)
Lineage: Eukaryota; Metazoa; Chordata; Mammalia; Rodentia; Sciuridae
Description: Spermophilus tridecemlineatus (thirteen-lined ground squirrel) tRNA
Rfam family: tRNA
About the family: Transfer RNA (tRNA) molecules are approximately 80 nucleotides in length. Their secondary structure includes four short double-helical elements and three loops (D, anti-codon, and T loops).
Source: Rfam by way of RNAcentral
UGGGAUGUGGCUCAAAUGGUAGCGCGCUUGCCUGGCACGCAUGUGGCCCGGGUUUGAUCCUCGGCACCACAU